AUGAUAUCCCCUAACCUAAAUUCAUCUGAUAUAAAUAUUAGUCUAACCCAAGAUCCUAGGGGCUUGUCCCAUCCACCAAAUCCCCUCACCCGCCGCCGCCAGUCCUCUUCCACCUCGGGAUCCCUCCCGAUCCAUUUCACCCAAUCCGAUCGCAGCGGCCACCACUCCUCUCGUUCCCCAUCCGUCCUUCCCGCAGCUCCUCGCAGUCAUCUCCCUCGAGCCCGAGGCCAUGCCUCCUCUGCUCGAUCUCCCCUGCCCAGCGCCUCCUCAACCCUCCUUCUCCUGCCCGAGCCCUGCCUCGUUCCCCUCGUCGCGAGCCAGGGAGAGGAGCUCCCUGCGUUCGCCCACCUCGUGCCGUCCCCGCCGUCUACCACCACAACCAGCAGCUAAGCUACGUCGCCCCCCUUCCCUUCUUGCCGCACCUCCGCUCUCUCUCCCCCUCCUGACCUCGUUUUCCCUUUCAUGGUCCAACAGAGCAGGAGUCCUGCCAUGGCCGUCCGAACCCCGCUGCUGCAUCGCGCUGCCGUCGGGGCCUCAUCUCCACCACCAGACCCGGCCGGCCUUCGUCGCCCUUGCCCGUUCCCGGCCGGAUCCCAUCGGCAGGGCCCCGUCCCCGCUGCCGGCGGCCGCGUCCCGCUCGUCCCGGACCUCCCUUUACUUCGCCAAGCUGUCGUCCCCGGCUGAAUCCACUUCCUCGCGUCGGAUCUCGCCUCCCGCGCCUGUCCUGGACAGGAUCCGCGUCGUCGGAUCUCGCAUGCGUCCGCCGCCGCGUUCGUCUUCAUUCGGGAGCUCGAGUUCGAGCGCUCUACCCCGUCGCUGCUGCCCCAUGCGCCUCCUCUGCCUGGCGCGUUGACCACGUGGCCAGUUACGUCGGCCGCGCGAAGCCUCCUCUGCUCAACCGCGCGUCGCCUGCGCGUUGACCACGCCCUGCCUCGCUUCGAUCUGCCCGCGAGGCCCAGCGCCGUGCCAAGUCCAGUUUCCCGCUGGCCUGCUGCUUCACCGACCUGGGCCAAGGCCCACAAGUAGGGCCAGCUCGAACCGUGUGCACCAGGAAGAAGGCCAGCCCAAAGUUGAUGAAGGGAGAAAGCCAAUAGGAUGCCCUACAAAUCGAUUUCGAACAAGUUUACUGCAGUACCUGACGGCCUCUCACAGUCUGCAACCAGCCAACCACCUCUACUGGCUGCUGCCACUCCUCAUAUUGGCUAGGAACACGAGCUCUGGGCUCUGGCGGCAGCACAAGGAGCAGGGCAGAGGAGCAGGACCUCGUUAGCGUGCUUCUUGCUGCGCGCCAGUCCUCGGCGCCGGGGGCAAGGGGCGGGGCGGGGUCGGGAUCCUCGAUGCCGCAGGUGGCGCUGGUGCUGGAGGUGACGCUGUUCCCCCGCUCGCUGGCGUAGCCGCUGCUGCUGGGGCUGGGCGGACCGGCGUCGCCGGCCAUCCUCCUCCUCAACGAGCCCCUGGAACUCCACCCCCCGGGCGCGGCCGUCACGUACCCCUCGUCUUCGUCCUCCUCGGCGAUCUCGUGGCCGACGGCGGCGAAGUCUGCGGGCAGGUCAGCGUGUAUCUUGGAAUCGUUCCGAUGGUUUUGUGACGAGAACAAUGUUCUUGGUGCCUCCUGACAUUUAGGGGUUGUGGCAGUGUCCCGGGGAGUUGAGCUCCGAGGUGUUGUCGUCAUAAUUUUAUCGUUGCAGUUCUGGAAUACCUGAGUUUCGCCGACAUUGAAAAUCUCUUUUAUGCAGUUGUUGGUGAGAUCACCUCGAUGCCACCCAGUACUGGGGCGGGAGUUCGGGAGUAUUGCCAUAACUCGUAUAACAGAUGCUUUUUGAAGGUUGAGGUAAAUGAUUUCCGAAGGUUUUCUUGGUUAUGUGUUGAAGGAUGGAUACAGCUGGAUCUAGGUAUUGUUAGUUUGGGUGAUAUAUUUUGUGUCCCCUGUAUCCCCAACACCUGAUUGCAUAACCAGAAAGUUUUGGGAGUUUAUAAGUGGGAAUUCAAGUAGCUCCUAGGAUAUCUUUCCGACAGAUGCAUGAUAUUGUUGGGUUACAUAGUAAUUUCAAAAAAAAUUCUACGCACACGCAAGAUCAUGGUGAUGCAUAGCAACAAGAGGGGAGAGUGUUGUCCACGUACCCUCGUAGACUGACAGCGGAAGCGUUAUCACAAUGCGGUUGAUGUAGUCGUACGUCUUCACGAUCCGGCCGAUCAAGUACCGAACGCACGACACC
Molecule: ribosomal RNA, 2216 nt
Filed under: Triticum aestivum (bread wheat)
Lineage: Eukaryota; Viridiplantae; Streptophyta; Magnoliopsida; Poales; Poaceae
Description: partial small subunit ribosomal RNA
Source: RNAcentral